Molecule: long non-coding RNA, 820 nt
Organism: Teleopsis dalmanni
Lineage: Eukaryota; Metazoa; Arthropoda; Insecta; Diptera; Diopsidae
Exons: 3
Source: RefSeq, a predicted model, not a curated record
AACAUCAAAAUUCAAUAGUUUCAAAUAGCAACAAAUUAUUCGUUAUUUAAAUUAUUCGUUAUUAAUGGAUUAAUUGAGCAAAAAAAAAGGAUAUGGAUUUCUUUUUCAUUUUUGUGGAAAACAAAAAAAAGACUGGGCGGGUCGAGCGAUGAUCCUAAAACUUGGGACACAACGCCACGAAACUUACAAUUUACAAUAAACUUGCAAAGGAAUACGACAUCUGGGUUCAGCCCGAUUCAACUUAAAUUCUAUUUCGAUCUUAGGAACAUCGUGCACAAUUAACUUAUACAAAUAGCGAUUGCUGAAAAACGACUACAGAUCGCAGAAAAUAUUGCUCGUGAGCGUUUUAACUAAAUCAAAGGUGAUUUAGUUGUGAUCAAGUCCCAGCUCUCCCAAACUAGAUGAAGACGAUGAUUUGCAAAUCGAGGAUGAUUUGUCUUCAGGAUUUGCCGAGUUGUAAAGUACGAACUGGCUGGCAACACUACAGCAGAUAUGUUAGCAAGAGAAGAAGAAGAAGCAAUGGAGUAUAGUGAGAACAGUGAACAGAGUCUUUAAGAUCAAAAUUUAAGUUAAAAAUAUUUGGAAAAAAUGUGAAAAGUCAAGUCUUUGUAAAAUUUCCAAUUCGUUUAGCCCAAAAUAUUGGAGUCAAAAUUUAUAUACGACAAUUAUACCUUUAGUGGAACUUCAUGACAGAAGCCGAAACGCUUCUAUAUUGGAAUUUGGCUGCUGUACUAUAAUAUAAAUUUUUUCCAUAUGAGGUAUGUUAAGUUGUUGAAGUCGAUCAUUCAUUCUAUUGAUACUUUCUAUUCUGUCCCGUUUU